GACGAACGCUGGCGGCGUGCUUAACACAUGCAAGUCGUGCGGUAAGGCCCUUUCGGGGGUACACGAGCGGCGCACGGGUGAGUAACACGUGAGCAACCUGCCCUUCACUUUGGGAUAACUGCCGGAAACGGUGGCUAAUACCGGAUAUGACUUCCUCACGCAUGUGGGGUGGUGGAAAGCCUUCGGGUGGUGGGGGAUGGGCUCGCGGUCUAUCAGCUUGUUGGUGGGGUGAUGGCCUACCAAGGCUUCGACGGGUAGCCGGCCUGAGAGGGUGACCGGCCCGACGGGGACUGGGACACGGCCACCACUGCUACGGGAGGGAGAAGUGGGGAAUAUUGGACCAUGGGCGAAGGCGUGGUCGAGCACCGCCGCGUGAGGGAUGACGGCCUUCGGGUUGUAAACCUCUUUCGCCUGCGACGAAGCGAGAGUGACGGUAGUAGGUAAAGAAGCACCGGCCAACUACGUG
This 466-nucleotide ribosomal RNA is filed under the name uncultured bacterium. RNAcentral's name for it is "partial 16S ribosomal RNA". It matches the Rfam family "Bacterial small subunit ribosomal RNA", at positions 28 to 507 of the family's 1533-position model. The record is from RNAcentral.